UCCUGGUUAACCCAGGCAGUCUCAUUAGAGUUCCCAACUUUACUUGCUGGCAACUAAUGACAAGGGUUGCGCUCGUUGCGGGACUUAACCCAACACCUCACGGCACGAGCUGACGACAGCCAUGCAGCACCUGUGCUCGCUCCCCUUACGAGGUCAUCCCCGUUUCCGGUGUAUGUCAAGCCUUGGUAAGGUUCUUCGCGUUGCGUCGAAUUAAGCCACAUGCUCCGCUGCUUGUGCGGGCCCCCGUCAAUUCCUUUGAGUUUCAGUCUUGCGACCGUACUCCCCAGGCGGAGUGCUUAAUGUGUUGACUUCGGCACAGCAGGGGUCGAUACCCGCUACACCAAGCACUCAUCGUUUACGGCGUGGACUAC
Molecule: unclassified non-coding RNA, 371 nt
Filed under: uncultured bacterium
Lineage: Bacteria
Description: contains 16S-23S intergenic spacer region
Source: RNAcentral